CCUACGGGCCGCACCAGUGGGGAGUAUUGCACAAUGGGCGCAAGCCUGAUGCAGCCAUGCCGCGUGUAUGAAGAAGGCCUUCGGGUUGUAAAGUACUUUCAGCGGGGAGGAAGGUGUUGUGGUUAAUAACCACAGCAAUUGACGUUACCCGCAGAAGAAGCACCGGCUAACUCCGUGCCAGCAGCCGCGGUAAUACGGAGGGUGCAAGCGUUAAACGGAAUUACUGGGCGUAAAGCGCACGCAGGCGGUCUGUCAAGUCGGAUGUGAAAUCCCCGGGCACAACCUGGGAACUGCAUUCGAAACUGGCAGGCUAGAGUCUUGUAAAGGGGGGUAGAAUUCCAGGUGUAGCGGUGAAAUGCGUAGAGAUCUGGAGGAAUACCGGUGGCGAAGGCGGCCCCCUGGACAAAGACUGACGCUCAGGUGCGAAAGCGUGGGGAGCAAACAGGAUUAGAUACCCCAGUAGUC
RNAcentral lists this ribosomal RNA (465 nucleotides) under uncultured bacterium. RNAcentral's name for it is "bacterial SSU rRNA". It matches the Rfam family "Bacterial small subunit ribosomal RNA", at positions 338 to 795 of the family's 1533-position model. The record is from RNAcentral.